Long non-coding RNA from Oncorhynchus masou masou (cherry salmon), 1002 nucleotides. RefSeq lists it as uncharacterized. The record is from RefSeq and is a predicted model, not a curated record. Lineage: Eukaryota; Metazoa; Chordata; Actinopteri; Salmoniformes; Salmonidae. The transcript has 3 exons.
UUAAAGGGUGUGAGAAAUGUAUGUAGCACUUUCAGCCAGAGGAUUUUGAAACGGAAGUCUGAAAAAAGUGAUGGUAUUCCAUCGAUUUCCCCCUUCUCUUCAAAGAGGAAGGCAUCCGAUCAGCCAACAUCAGAGCAACAGAAAAGAAGCCAAGCUGAGGUAAUGUUGUUAACGGUACUUAUCUAACUAGCUAGCUAGCAAGCUACAUUUGUUUAUGUUCUAUUUAGAGUCCGAUCGCAUCAACAUCUGCAGCGGCAUCAACAUCAAGCUCAACACCAGGAACUAGUAAGUACUAAUCCUGCUACUGAGGACGACCUUGACACCAGCGUUAGUAGUACAGAGCCUGUAGACCCAGUGGAUGAAAGCUUUCAGCCUGGAAUAAGCCUAAGCUCAACAUCAUCUGACAUUGAAACAAGCCAGGACAGCCAAAGGGGACUUGCGUUACAUACAAAUCUUCGGCAAGAGGUCGAAGCAGUGGCUAGUGAAAAACACCGCCAAAGCCUGCUAAACCAGCUGCCAUUACCCUUCACAAGCAGAGGUUCACCAGCUGAAGAACAUUCAACUAAAACCACAUCCAUAUUCAGUUAGACUCGUGUUCUAGUAUAAUAUAGAUUAAAGGAUGCGUGCUGAUUCAUGAUUUCGACUGUCCGAGAAACACAGCCUGCCUGUCUAUGUUAGUCUAAAAGAUAUGUGAGAUAAUGUCUAGAUGCAUUUUAUAGUGGCGAUCAAGUUUAUAAAUUGCCUGGCUGGGCUGACUGAUCAGAAGGUGGAUUGUGCAGUCAGAUAGGCAUUUUAAGGUUAUAGAUUUAGCUGGUGGUAAAUGUGGAAUAGACACCGGCUGGAAUGCAGUUUUAACCAAUCAGCAUUCAGAAUUAGAACUACCCGUUGUAUAAUAUAGAUUAUCAGAAACCAAUAAAGUGCUGACUUUAACUUCUGGAUCAAUUCAUUGUGAUAUUCAUGAAAUAUAUUUGGUUAAUCUAGGUUCAAUCUUACUGCUAAAAC